RNAcentral lists this long non-coding RNA (426 nucleotides) under Elaeis guineensis (African oil palm). RNAcentral's name for it is "long non-coding RNA (EGUI_LNC057672)". Lineage: Eukaryota; Viridiplantae; Streptophyta; Magnoliopsida; Arecales; Arecaceae. The record is from RNAcentral.
AUCACAGAGUUUCAGACACGUAGGACUCAUAGUCCAUGAGUAUUAGGACUCUUCAUCAGCCAUCAGAUCAGAUAGGAACCUCUAAUGUGUGUGACCCCGCAGGUUCGAACCUAAGCCGGUAGCACAGGAACCAAUUCCUGUACUAAUCGAAGUGACCAUCUAGCAAUGAUACCCGAUGACCGGAUAGAUCGAAUGGUCACAAUCGCAACAUUCAGAACCUACGUGAAUAUGGUUACUGUAUAAUUCAUCCUUUUGACCUCUGUGUUUAGGACAACUCAGGGUUAAACUGUCAACUCUGAUUAGAUCAUCCGAAUCGUGCUCAACUCAAACAGUUCUGUGACUCCUCACAAAGACUAUCCUGGCCAAAGUUUUGCUAAAUUGAAACAUGACUGUACACAGCUCCUAAACUGGAGUGGUCAAUCCCAU